ACGCUAGCUACAGGCUUAACACAUGCAAGUCGAUGGGCAGCAUUUUAGUUUGCUUGCAAACUGAAGAUGGCGACCGGCGCACGGGUGAGUAACACGUAUCCAACCUACCGAUAACUCCGGAAUAGCCUUUCGAAAGAAAGAUUAAUACCGGAUAGCAUACGAAUAUCGCAUGAUAUUUUUAUUAAAGAAUUUCGGUUAUCGAUGGGGAUGCGUUCCAUUAGUUUGUUGGCGGGGUAACGGCCCACCAAGACUACGAUGGAUAGGGGUUCUGAGAGGAAGGUCCCCCACAUUGGAACUGAGACACGGUCCAAACUCCUACGGGAGGCAGCAGUGAGGAAUAUUGGUCAAUGGGCGAGAGCCUGAACCAGCCAAGUAGCGUGAAGGAUGAAGGCUCUAUGGGUCGUAAACUUCUUUUAUAUGGGAAUAAAGUUUUCCACGUGUGGAAUUUUGUAUGUACCAUAUGAAUAAGGAUCGGCUAACUCCGUGCCAGCAGCCGCGGUAAUACGGAGGAUCCGAGCGUUAUCCGGAUUUAUUGGGUUUAAAGGGAGCGUAGGUGGAUUGUUAAGUCAGUUGUGAAAGUUUGCGGCUCAACCGUAAAAUUGCAGUUGAAACUGGCAGUCUUGAGUACAGUAGAGGUGGGCGGAAUUCGUGGUGUAGCGGUGAAAUGCUUAGAUAUCACGAAGAACUCCGAUUGCGAAGGCAGCUCACUAGACUGUCACUGACACUGAUGCUCGAAAAGUGUGGGUAUCAAACAGGAUUAGAUACCCUGGUAGUCCACACAGUAAACGAUGAAUACUCGCUGUUUGCGAUAUACAGUAAGCGGCCAAGUGAAAGCAUUAAGUAUUCCACCUGGGGAGUACGCCGGCAACGGUGAAACUCAAAGGAAUUGACGGGGGCCCGCACAAGCGGAGGAACAUGUGGUUUAAUUCGAUGAUACGCGAGGAACCUUACCCGGGCUUAAAUUGCAACAGAAUAUAUUGGAAACAGUAUACCCGUAAGGCUGUUGUGAAGGUGCUGCAUGGUUGUCGUCAGCUCGUGCCGUGAGGUGUCGGCUUAAGUGCCAUAACGAGCGCAACCCUUAUCUUUAGUUACUAACAGGUUAUGAUGAGGACUCUAGAGAGACUGCCGUCGUAAGAUGUGAGGAAGGUGGGGAUGACGUCAAAUCAGCACGGCCCUUACGUCCGGGGCUACACACGUGUUACAAUGGGGGGUACAGAAGGCGGGUACCUGGUGACAGGAUGCUAAUCCCAAAAACCUCUCCCAGUUCGGAUCGAAGUCUGCAACCCGACUUCGUGAAGCUGGAUUCGCUAGUAAUCGCGCAUCAGCCAUGGCGCGGUGAAUACGUUCCCGGGCCUUGUACACACCGCCCGUCAAGCCAUGAAAGCCGGGGGUACGUGAAGUACGUAACCGCAAGGAGCGUCCUAGGGUAAAACUGA
Molecule: ribosomal RNA, 1436 nt
Filed under: uncultured organism
Description: SSU rRNA
Rfam family: Bacterial small subunit ribosomal RNA
Source: RNAcentral